This 608-nucleotide small RNA is filed under the name Circinella muscae. Its description in RNAcentral is "eukaryotic LSU rRNA". It matches the Rfam family "Eukaryotic large subunit ribosomal RNA", at positions 98 to 646 of the family's 3401-position model. Lineage: Eukaryota; Fungi; Mucoromycota; Mucoromycetes; Mucorales; Lichtheimiaceae. The record is from RNAcentral.
CAGGGAAAAGCUCACAGUUGGAACCUAGCUGCCUUAGGUAGUUCGGAUUGUAAACUGAAAAAGUGUUAUCCAGGCUAGCCGAGUAAAUAAGUUUCUUGGAAUAGAACAUCAUGGAGGGUGAGAAUCCCGUCUUUGGCUUGAGCAUAGUCUUUUGUGUUGCACUUUAACGAGUCAGGUUGUUUGGGAAUGCAGCCUAAAGUGGGAGGUAAAUCCCUCCUAAAGCUAAAUAUUGGCGAGAGACCGAUAGCAAACAAGUACCGUGAGGGAAAGAUGAAAAGAACUUUGAAAAGAGAGUUAAACAGUAUGUGAAAUUGCUAAAAGGGAAGCGUUUGAAGACAGACUAGCUUGGUUAUAAUCAGCCUGGAUUUUUCUUGGUGUACUUGUAGCCUAUGCUUGCCAACAGCAGUUUGGUCUGGCUGAAAAAACUAGUAGUAAGGUGGCUCUCUUCGGGGAGUGUUAUAGACUAUUAGAAAAUCAGUUGGACUGGACUGAGGAAUGCAAUGCAGCUUGCCUUGGGGUGAACCAGAUUGGAUAGGAACCAUUGUUCCUUGAAGGUUUGGGUAGCUCUUCGAACUGUAUUUAGGUUGUUGGCUUAAUGUCUUUAAACG